Long non-coding RNA from Calypte anna (Anna's hummingbird), 1278 nucleotides. RefSeq lists it as uncharacterized. The transcript is spliced from 2 exons. NCBI's taxonomy places the organism in Eukaryota, Metazoa, Chordata, Aves, Apodiformes, Trochilidae. The record is from RefSeq and is a predicted model, not a curated record.
GGGAGCGAGGGGCCCCCGGGCGAGCGGUACUGCUCGGGUUCAAGCGGUGGCAGGCGUUGUUUUCCUCGGAAAGCGGAGGAGGAAAUCUCCGGCUUUUUAAUGAGGGGGUGCAGCAGGGCUGAGCGUUGGGAUUACACAGUGCGGAGACAGAGCUGCGGGCUGUGUGUGCGCGCAGGGCUGGUAGUCUCCGCCCGUCUGCCUCCUAAUCGCACGUUUUCCGCUGUUAAAAAGAAACCGAGACGCUGUGGCCGAACCCAGCGCUGUCUCUGUGACUGUGACAUGAAAAGAUGGCGCUCUCUCCCCUCCCCCAGCCUCCCUCUCGGCUUACACUUCCUCCCCAACAGCUUUUGCCUUCCAGUUUUUUUAAGCCGUCUUUUCUCCGCUCCUUCCCCCCCGCUCUCCCGGCCGGAUACCACCAGCUUCCCGGCCGACCGUGUCUGUUACGUUAAUUGCACUUAGCGCUGGGGCGCCGUUCGUCAGGGAUACAUGAAGGCCUCGGAGAUUAACCGCAGGCUCCUGCUCGGACUUUUUUCAACUAACAGUGAGUUGCGAGAAGCUGCUGAGGACCUUGCACGAUACCGUCGUGUGCUUUCGGUGCGUGCUGCAGCCGGCGGGCCACUCUGAGUCCGGGGCCAGAGCUGUGAGGUCAGAAUGGCAGCACCUCCCUGUGUGCCCGCACAUCUAUUUGCGUAAGGAUUUGCAUUGCGGGAGGACAGGUAUUUUUCCUCCCCGUGGAUGGUAGAAAUGCAAAAUUAGCGCGACUGUUUCCAGGCAGAGACUCCGCGAUUACAUGAUCUCGCUGAACCUGUCGGUUGUGCUUUCUGGAGCAGCAGGGAAACCGGACACCUUUAUCAAUUACUACUGAAGGCGUUCUCCCAGGCGCUUGGCCGUUUUUAUCACCAUCUAACCCUCAGGUCACCCACGAAUGCCUGGUGGCAGCCCUUGCCCUACCCGGGGAUGUCCGUGUGGCCUCCAGCAUCUCUCGGAAUUUCAUGGCCUCACCGGGAAGGAGUGGGCAUGUGUGGCCUUCGCAGACUAGGACUUUCUCCAACGCCUACUUCAUCUAUUUGUUAUCAGGGGACGGCGUGUGGAGUGACUGAGCCUAAUAAGUUGUCCACUUGUUCAUUUCAGGAGCAUUGAUUUCUGGUUCCAAGGCACUCUGUUCUACCACUGGCUACAGCUGCGGGGCAUUUCGCAGCUGGUCUUUCGCCUAGACAAAUAUCAGCGAGAAUGUGAGCGUUAUUAGCCCCAUAAAUAAAUCAUUAACUUGCACACAAA